AUUGAACGCUGGCGGCAGGCCUAACACAUGCAAGUCGAACGAGUGGCGGACGGGUGAGUAAUGUCUGGGAAACUGCCUGAUGGAGGGGGAUAACUACUGGAAACGGUAGCUAAUACCGCAUACCAUCAGAUGUGCCCAGAUGGGAUUAGCUUGUUGGUGGGGGAACGGCUAACCAAGGCGACGAUCCCUAGCUGGUCUGAGAGGAUGACAACCCACACGAGAGCUGAUACCCGGUCCAGACUCUGACGGGAGGCACGAGUGGGGAAUAUUGCACAAUGGGCGCAAUCCUGCUACAGCCAUGCAGCGUGUAUGAAGCAGGCCUUCGGGUUGUAAAGUACUUUCAGCGGGGAGGCGUUACCCGCAGAAGAAGCACCGGCUAACUCCGUGCCAGCAGCCGCGGUAAUUC
This 406-nucleotide ribosomal RNA is filed under the name uncultured bacterium. Its description in RNAcentral is "partial 16S ribosomal RNA". It matches the Rfam family "Bacterial small subunit ribosomal RNA", at positions 30 to 526 of the family's 1533-position model. The record is from RNAcentral.